GGACAGAUGGGAGCUUGCUCCCUGAUGUUAGCGGCGGACGGGUGAGUAACACGUGGGUAACCUGCCUGUAAGACUGGGAUAACUCCGGGAAACCGGGGCUAAUACCGGAUGCUUGAUUGAACCGCAUGGUUCAAUUAUAAAAGGUGGCUUUUAGCUACCACUUACAGAUGGACCCGCGGCGCAUUAGCUAGUUGGUGAGGUAAUGGCUCACCAAGGCAACGAUGCGUAGCCGACCUGAGAGGGUGAUCGGCCACACUGGGACUGAGACACGGCCCAGACUCCUACGGGAGGCAGCAGUAGGGAAUCUUCCGCAAUGGACGAAAGUCUGACGGAGCAACGCCGCGUGAGUGAUGAAGGUUUUCGGAUCGUAAAACUCUGUUGUUAGGGAAGAACAAGUACCGUUCGAAUAGGGCGGUACCUUGACGGUACCUAACCAGAAAGCCACGGCUAACUACGUGCCAGCAGCCGCGGUAAUACGUAGGUGGCAAGCGUUGUCCGGAAUUAUUGGGCGUAAAGGGCGCGCAGGCGGUUUCUUAAGUCUGAUGUGAAAGCCCCCGGCUCAACCGGGGAGGGUCAUUGUAAACUGGGGAACUUGAGUGCAGAAGAGGAGA
This 611-nucleotide ribosomal RNA is filed under the name Bacillus sp. LR37. Its description in RNAcentral is "bacterial SSU rRNA". It matches the Rfam family "Bacterial small subunit ribosomal RNA", at positions 68 to 660 of the family's 1533-position model. Lineage: Bacteria; Bacillati; Bacillota; Bacilli; Caryophanales; Bacillaceae. The record is from RNAcentral.